GAUCCUACGGGGCGCAACAGUGAGGAAUAUUGGUCAAUGGGCUUACGCCUGAACCAGCCAAGUCGCGUGAGGGAGGAAGGUACAGAGUAUCGUAAACCUCUUUUGUCAGGGAACAAAGGCGGGGACGUGUCCCCGGAUGAGUGUACCUGAAGAAAAAGCAUCGGCUAACUCCGUGCCAGCAGCCGCGGUAAUACGGAGGAUGCGAGCGUUAUCCGGAUUUAUUGGGUUUAAAGGGUGCGCAGGCGGUCUGUUAAGUCAGCGGUCAAAGCCCGGGGCUCAACCCCGGCCCGCCGUUGAAACUGGCG
This 305-nucleotide ribosomal RNA is filed under the name uncultured bacterium. Its description in RNAcentral is "bacterial SSU rRNA". It matches the Rfam family "Bacterial small subunit ribosomal RNA", at positions 335 to 638 of the family's 1533-position model. The record is from RNAcentral.